GGAAAGGUGUAACUUAGUGGUAGAGCAUCGCUGGUCACAUGCAGAAGGUCCCAGGUUCAAUCUCUGGCAUCUCCA
Podarcis lilfordi (Lilford's wall lizard) is the source of this 75-nucleotide non-coding RNA. The record is from the annotation of a GenBank genome assembly. Lineage: Eukaryota; Metazoa; Chordata; Lepidosauria; Squamata; Lacertidae.